RNAcentral lists this microRNA precursor (90 nucleotides) under Canis lupus dingo (dingo). Its description in RNAcentral is "mir-8799 microRNA precursor family". It matches the Rfam family "mir-8799 microRNA precursor family". Lineage: Eukaryota; Metazoa; Chordata; Mammalia; Carnivora; Canidae. The record is from Rfam by way of RNAcentral.
CGGGGGAGGCGGGAUCCUGGGCUGUGUCCCGGCGCUCUGUGCUCCGGAAACCUGCGCUGCUGGAUUCGCGCUCCCGGCCCGCAGCCCCCU